Molecule: ribosomal RNA, 301 nt
Filed under: uncultured bacterium
Lineage: Bacteria
Description: partial 16S ribosomal RNA
Rfam family: Bacterial small subunit ribosomal RNA
Source: RNAcentral
CAGCAGCCGCGGGAAUACGAAGGGCGCAAGCGUUACUCGGAAUUACUGGGCGUAAAGCGUGCGUAGGUGGUGGUUUAAGUCCCUUGUGAAAGCCCUGGGCUCAACCUGGGAAUUGCAGUGGAUACUGGAUCACUAGAGUGUGGUAGAGGAUAGUGGAAUUUCCGGUGUAGCAGUGAAAUGCGUAGAGAUCGGAAGGAACAUCUGUGGCGAAGGCGACUAUCUGGGCCAACACUGACACUGAGGCACGAAAGCGUGGGGAGCAAACAGGAUUAGAUACCCCGGUAGUCCCUGUCUCUUAUAC